RNAcentral lists this ribosomal RNA (207 nucleotides) under uncultured bacterium. RNAcentral describes it as "partial 16S ribosomal RNA". It matches the Rfam family "Bacterial small subunit ribosomal RNA", at positions 568 to 774 of the family's 1533-position model. The record is from RNAcentral.
CACGUAGGCGGAUUGUUAAGUCAGGGGUGAAAUCCUGGAGCUCAACUCCAGAACUGCCUUUGAUACUGGCGAUCUUGAGUUCGGGAGAGGUGAGUGGAACUGCGAGUGUAGAGGUGAAAUUCGUAGAUAUUCGCAGGAACACCAGUGGCGAAGGCGGCUCACUGGCCCGAUACUGACGCUGAGGUGCGAAAGCGUGGGGAGCAAACA